This 490-nucleotide ribosomal RNA is filed under the name uncultured bacterium. RNAcentral's name for it is "partial 16S ribosomal RNA". It matches the Rfam family "Bacterial small subunit ribosomal RNA", at positions 28 to 507 of the family's 1533-position model. The record is from RNAcentral.
GAUGAACGCUAGCUACAGGCUUAACACAUGCAAGUCGAGGGGCAGCAUGGUCUUAGCUUGCUAAGGCCGAUGGCGACCGGCGCACGUGUGAGUAACACGUAUCCAACCUGCCUUCUACUCUUGGACAGCCUUCUGAAAGGAAGAUUAAUACAAGAUGGCAUCAUGAGUCCGCAUGUUCACAUGAUUAAAGGUAUUCCGGUAGACGAUGGGGAUGCGUUCCAUUAGAUAGUAGGCGGGGUAACGGCCCACCUAGUCUUCGAUGGAUAGGGGUUCUGAGAGGAAGGUCCCCCACAUUGGAACUGAGAACCGGUCCAAACUCCUACGGGAGGCAGCAGUGAGGAAUAUUGGUCAAUGGGAGAGAGCCUGAACCAGCCAAGUAGCGUGAAGGAUGACUGCCCUAUGGGUUGUAAACUUCUUUUAUAAAGGAAUAAAGUCGGGUAUGGAUACCCGUUUGAAUGUACUUUAUGAAUAAGGAUCGGCUAACUCCGUG